AUUUACAAAAUGUUCAUGGCAGGGCCCACUUCACAGGGCUGUGAGGAUUACAGAGGAUAAUCUGGGUGAGGCGCAUCAGCCCCAGCGCCGCCUGCCACAAUUCUAUCCGGCCCCACAUAUGCAUCGUCCAUAAGCGUCCGGCCCCUGCAUUCUCGCUUUUCCACGUGGCCGAGGUGCACACCCCAACCCACUGGGCCAGUCUCCCCACCCUCUUACCUGCUCUUCUUUCCCGACUCGUCUUUAAUACCCACCAGGAGCCAAUCGCCGCGGGCCUGGCUCUGUGGCGGCAAGUUGCAUGGGUUCUCCCAUCAGGACCUCCCGAUGAGCCUACGAGGUCGGUUCUACUACUGUCGCCACUUCAGAGGGAGGAAACAGGCCCGCAGGGUUGGGGAACUUCCCGAGGUCACUGAACUGGUGUCAGGCCCAGAUUGGAAUCCAAACACAUCCCAGCCCAUGCCCGGCUCCCCAGCGCCGGCUCCCGGGCGUCUUCCCGGGUGCCAGCGGCACCCGCAUCCAUUCAAAUGCUGCCCAGUCCCCGCUCCUCAGUCGCUUCCCUCUACUACGCGCCCGCAUCUCCCCCCGACCCCUCAGGGUCAGGCCUCUCGGUGGCUUUUCCUUUUUCUCUUCCAGAAACUAAGGGGUGAGACCGACGUUUGUGUGCCGGACGCGUGCAGGUGGCGGCGACGCUCCCGGGAGACGCGGGGGGAGAACCAGUCUGUGCGCGCGGCUGUGAGAAGCCCCGACCAAGCUUUCCACGCGCUUGUUUCGGGCAGCAGAGGACGCGAGGGCCGACUGCGUCCCCAGUGCGCAGGCUCGGCCGGGGGCGCGUAAUCAGGCAGCCCAGCGGUCCCUUCAAACCGAGGCAGGCAAGCUCUACGUCUUGGGGGCCGCAUGGUGCCGAGAGCGCAAACCAGACCCGCCCCGCCCCUCCGUGCCACGCACGCGCUCGGCUCCGCGCUUAAUGGCUGGAGUGCAGUGGCGCGAUCUCGGCCCAUCGCAACCUCCAUCUCCCGGGUUCAAGCAAUUCUCUGCCUCAGCCUCCCGAGUGGCUGGGAUUACAGAAGCAGUAUCUGACUGUGUUGCCCAGGCUGGUCUUGAACUCCUGGUCUCAAAUGAUUCUCCUGCUUUGGCCUCCUAAAGUGCUGGGAUUACAGACAUGUUUAUUCAGUUUUUAAUGUCAGACCAUAAGAGUGUCAGGCCUCUGAGCCCAAGCUAAGCCAUCAUAUCCCCUGUGACCUGCAUGUAUGCAUCCAGGUGGCCUGAAGUAACUGAAGAAUCACAAAAGAGGUGAAAAUGGCCUGUUCCUGCCUUAACUGAUGACAUUACCUUGUGAAAUUCCUUCUCUUGGCUCAUCCUGGCUCAAAAACUCCCCCACUGAGCACCUUGUGACCCCCGCCCCUGCCUACCAGAGAACCCCCUUUGACUGUAAUUUCCCACUACCUACCCAAAUCCUAUAAAACGGCCCCACCCCUAUCUCCCUUCGCUGACUCUCCUUUCGGACUCAGCCCACCUGCACCCAGGUGAAAUAAACAGCCUUGUUGCUCACAC
This 1548-nucleotide long non-coding RNA is filed under the name Pan troglodytes (chimpanzee). RNAcentral describes it as "lincRNA". The record is from RNAcentral. Lineage: Eukaryota; Metazoa; Chordata; Mammalia; Primates; Hominidae.